RNAcentral lists this long non-coding RNA (199 nucleotides) under Elaeis guineensis (African oil palm). RNAcentral's name for it is "long non-coding RNA (EGUI_LNC018195)". Lineage: Eukaryota; Viridiplantae; Streptophyta; Magnoliopsida; Arecales; Arecaceae. The record is from RNAcentral.
UCUCUAACUAGUUCAUUUGGAUAGUUUAUUGUAAACUACCAUAUGAAUAAAUUAGACUGCAAUUUAUCUGAGUUGGUCAAUAUGCUGGUCACUGCUAAAGGUACCUUAAAAACUUCAAGGAGCUCUGUUCUUACUGUUGAGUAGGCACCUUCUAAGAGAAAGUCUCAAGGAAAGAAAAAGAAUAACCCUAUUAAGAAGC